CUCUUUCUCUCCUCUCUCUCUCUCCUCUCAUCUCUCUCUCUCUCUCUCUCUCGGUCGCUCUCUCCAUCGCUCUCCUCUCUUUCUCUCAUCCUCUCUCUCCUCCUCUCUCGGCUCUCUCUCUCCUCCUCUCCCCUCUCUCUCCUCUCUCUCUCUCCUCCUCUCUUCUCUCUCCUCCUCCUCCUCUCUCUCUCCUCUCUCCUCUCUCUCUCCCCUCUCUCCUCUCUCUCUCCUCUCUCUCUCUCCUCUCUCUCUCCUCUCUUCUCUCUCCUCCCUCUCUUCCCUCUCCUCUCCCUCCUCUCCUCUCCUCCUCUCUCUCUCUCUCCUCUCCCUCUCCUCUCCCUCUCUCUCCUCUCUUUCUCUCCUCCCUCUCUCCUCUCUCUCCUCUCUCUCUCUUUCCUCCUCUCUCUCCUCUUCUCUCCUCUCUUUCCUCUCUCCUCUCUCUCUCUCUCCUCCUCUCUUCUCCGCUCUCUCCUCCCUCUCUCUUCUCCCCUCCUCUCUCUCCCUCUCUCUCUCCUCCUCUCUCUCCUCUCUCUCUCCUCUCUCUCUCCUCUCUCCCUCUCUCUCCUCUCUCUCCUCUCUUUCCUCUCCCUCUCUCUCUCCUCUCUCUCUCUCCUCUCUCUCUCUUCCUCUCCUCUCUCCUCCUCUCUCUCUCUCCUCCUCUCUCUCUCCUCUCUCUCUCCUCUCUCUCCCUCCCUCCUCUCUCCCCCUCUCUCCCCUCCCCUCUCUCUCUCCUCUCUCCUCUCUCUCCUCUCUCUCUCCUCCUCUCUCUCUUCUCUCUCUCCUCUCUCUCCCUCUCUCUUCCUCUCUCUCUCUCCUCUCUCUCUCUAUCUCUCCUCUCUCUCCCUCUCUCUCCUCUCUCUUUCCCCUCUCGUCUCUCUUCCCUCCAUCUCUCCUCUCUCUCCUCUCCUCUCUCUCUCUCCUCUCUCUCCUAUAUUCCCUCUAUCUCCUCUCUCUAUCAUCUCUCUCCUCUUCUCCUCUCUUUCUCCCCUCUCUCUCUGUCUCCUCUCUUCCUCUCUCUCUCCUUCCUAUCUCUCCCUCUCAUCCUCUCUCUCUCUCCUUCUCUCUCUCAUCCUACUCCUCUCCUCCUCUCUCCUCUCUUCCUCUCCUCUCUUCUCCUGCUCUCCUCGUCCUCUCUCUAUCUAUUCCUCUCAUCUCCCCUCCUCCUCUCUCUCUCUCUGGGACACAGUGUUCCUGUAGAAGUGGUGGAGGUGACCUCCAGUACCACUAGAAUGUUUCCUAACAUAAACACUGUGGAGGAGAAACACUAUCUGUCCAGUUAGGCUGAACUCCUAACCCACUACUGUGGCUAACCAGUAAAGCUCCC
This 1324-nucleotide long non-coding RNA is filed under the name Salmo trutta (river trout). Its description in RNAcentral is "lncRNA (ENSSTUG00000042406.1)". Lineage: Eukaryota; Metazoa; Chordata; Actinopteri; Salmoniformes; Salmonidae. The record is from RNAcentral.